Non-coding RNA from Schizosaccharomyces pombe (fission yeast), 318 nucleotides. Lineage: Eukaryota; Fungi; Ascomycota; Schizosaccharomycetes; Schizosaccharomycetales; Schizosaccharomycetaceae. The record is from the annotation of a GenBank genome assembly.
CUAUGCUGUGAAGAAUGGAAAAACGCACAUGAAAAGUUCAACUAGAAUAUGGUAUUUUUUACUCCUUCCACUUCUCCUUUUAGAACCUAUAUUACCACUGUGCAAUACAAAGGGAACUAAGUGUUUUUAAAUGUUUUGCAUUAAAUGUUCGGAAACCAUCUCAAUCGCAAUGCCUGAUGAAACAAAAAUUAAAAUAGUGUGUUAAAUUAAUUUAAAUCUUUUAUUGUUAACGAAAAUUAUCUUGCCGCCAAGCUUACAGUAACAGUUGACGAGAACCUGUAGCGAAUAAUGCACAUUCGAAAGGAUUCACUACCCUAG